Molecule: non-coding RNA, 128 nt
Organism: Octopus bimaculoides (California two-spot octopus)
Lineage: Eukaryota; Metazoa; Mollusca; Cephalopoda; Octopoda; Octopodidae
Source: Rfam
UGUAUACCAAAACUGUCCUCAAAUACCCCUCGCAACUUGUAUGUAUAUAUAUAUAUAUAUAUAUAUAUAUAUAUAUAUAUAUAUACAUACAGGAUGCGAGGGGUAUUUGAGGACAGUUUUGGUAUACA